AGAUAAUCCUGAUAUUCUACCGGCGGGACGUCAAUAGGAUUUUCUUCGAUAUCAGCUUUGAGUUUUGUUGCUUUCGAGUCAGGCUUAUAGCUUGAUAGCAGGUCAUUUUGUUGGACCUUCAGAACCUGCUCUUUGGUUGUACUUUGUACUUUUCCUUUAUGUCUAGUUAGUGCUCCAAAACUCUGAACUUAUAUGAACUCUUGUAUUAAGACAAUUCAAUUAUAUUAUGAAGUUGAUUUUGUUA
Molecule: long non-coding RNA, 244 nt
Organism: Populus nigra (black poplar)
Lineage: Eukaryota; Viridiplantae; Streptophyta; Magnoliopsida; Malpighiales; Salicaceae
Exons: 2
Source: RefSeq, a predicted model, not a curated record